CACUGCUCGCAUUAUUACAACUCAAGUUGAGCCACGGACGUCCACAUUAAUUGAAUUCCUGAUUUACUGCCUCAAACCGAUGCAGAGAUGUUUUACUAGAUGAAACUGCUGUAAGCCGGCGUCGAAACUCGAAAGAGAUAAACAGAUGCUUAAAUAGGGCAAUAUUUACCCUGUGAAUGAAGAGAUUCCUGGGAAUUGGCUUUCUUUUCACUCCAUCCGGAAGCGGUACUGGCUGAUGGUUUCAGGGUGGCAGCUACUACACCGGGGACGUCGAGCGAGCCGGACGGUACAGCAGAGCGGUCUGCUGGUGCAGAAACAGCUAUUGGUACAGGAGAGAUGUAAGAUUCAGCAAUCAGACCAGAGAAGUCUAAUCCUUCGGGCGCCCGGAGAAUAGCCAAAGACAAGUAAAUGUCAAAGGCAGCACUGUACGAGGAAUUCGAAAAAUCAGAUACUAAAUGUCAAAGGCCUCCAUCCAACAGGCUUCACCAUUUCGGCGUGGAAAGUUGAAUAAUUGACCAAUCCGUAAGCAGCCAAAAAGAAAUUGGAGAUGAGAGGAGCAAUUGCAUUCAGCUCGGCGAUAAUGAUGCAGCCCAAAGCGAUUAUAAAUGUCAAGAUGUAGCCAUUAACUGGCUCGUUGUUUUUGCCGUAUCCACGACCAAAAGGACCCAAAUAAGGAUAGAGCUUAUCCUUACACAAAGCCUGGAACACUUUGGGUGCAGAGACGAGACUGGCCAGAGCAGAGCUGAGGGUAGCCGCAAAACAACCGGCGUAAAUCAAAGGACCGAAAGCCGAAACCAGUUCAAUAACCUGUUUUCAUUUCAAUCGUUAUAGAUUUUCAUUCAUUUUUUUAAAAUGCAUAUCUUAAAUAGUGUCGUAAUGAAGACCUUACCUGGAAACUGUUUUGGAGUCCCCAUUCGCAACCCUCGGUACAGUUGGUAAGCGUGCCGUUGUAGAGGUCUUCAAUGUUGCCGGUGGCCUGUCUCAUAACCGUCGCGCCGCAAAUAAUGGCGAAACCGACGUAAGUCACACUUGUAAUAGCGAUGGCCAACAUUGUUCCUUUAGGAAUAGCGUGUUGAGGAUCCUAAUGUUAAGACAAAAUUGAGCGACCGGAAUUUUUGAUGGAUGAGUAUUGUAAAUCGACUUUAAGAUCGCCAGAAAUGUUGGCUCCAGCUAAGAUGCCUGUCGCGGCCGGAAAGAAGACGGAGAAGACAGUAAAGAAACUAUGUUCUUUGCCUUCGCUGUAUUGGUAGUCGGGUGAAAAAUUUUCCACAAAUAACUCACCUUUCAAAGUUAAAAAAUUCAUUUAUUUACGUAAAAUGUAUUUAACUAAUGGAACUUACUGCUGUAACCAACAAAUCCUUUAGCCUUUUCCUCGUCGUCCAUUGGGCCCAUAAUACUACCGAUGACGAACGCUAUUUGAGCGAUAAUCAAGAUGGCCAACAGAACAAUUUGUGCCUGAACCAAAAAGAACAAGUUAAGAUAUUUUUUAAAAAACAAUCUGUUUUACAAUAUGCUAGUGGUUACCUUAGUUUCCCAUUCGAGACCGAUGACGACGAUUCCGGUCAAUAAGAUGAUGGUGAUUGUGCCAAUAAUACGGACGUCGUUGACACCGUUGUCGAUGAUUUUGAGAUCAAAGGUCUUUAGCAAAUCGUUAAGCGACUCACAAAAGCCGAUGGUGUACAUGGCUACCGCUACUGCAUUUGCCACGGCGAAAAUGACGCCGAUGGAAGCGCCAAAGUCCGGGCCAAGCGAGCGAGAUAUCAUGUAGUAAGUACCGCCGCCUUUGAUGUUGCCGUUGGUGCUGAUGGCACUCAUUGAUAGGCCAGUUAUGGUAGUGACGAUGCAUGCUAGCGCGAUAAUAAUGACACCUUCACCUGUGUUUGCCAAAGUGAUUAUUUACUCUAGAGGGAUAUUCAUGACCUGAAAAUGGUUAACUUACCUAUUCCGGCUUGUCCUACGACCCAAGAAAGGCGAAGGAAAAGCAUUACGCCCCAAAUCGUCAUCGGAAAACUCACCAUCGCACCAAGACUCCUUUGAUCCAACCAAAUUUGACGAAAGUGUCUGGGACAACCUCGGUUGCUUUCUCUCCUUGAGGCUAUUUGCCAACGAGAUUGAAUUACAAAAAGGAAGCAAAACAAACGGUUGCUAAACUAGUACAAGCAAAUAAAGGGCGUGCGUAAAUAAGAUGCCGCAAUUGGAGUGACCCCUGCAUCACGGUUCCUCUUCUGCGUUCAACGGAACGCCCGUGAAAGGGGAAAUGAUUCAUCAGAGAGGUAUGAAAAUCUGAUACUUAUUACUCCUAUAAAAGGUAUCGCAACUUGUUAUUACGUCGUAGCAAAUUGCGCUAUUGUGGUAAAAAUCGUGCUGACGGAAAACGAACUGUUGAUUUUUUUCUACUGAUAUCCUAUUUCCAUUUUUAAUGGACAGUGGCGAAAACUAGGAACCUGGCACACCCUCAAAACAACUGUCUGGUUCAUAAUUAGACGUGCCGACGUUUGAUGGCCAGACAAUAGGGAGAUGUUUCACACAUCAGUAUUUUCCUCAUCGAUUACGUGUUUCCAAUAAGUCAACAACUACGAGUGUUAUGAGAGUUCGAUCAAUGCUGGAUCGUGUCGAUUGAUGGGCAAAGACGAGUGAUGGGACAGUGGGUAAUUUAAAUUGAAUGCGCUUCCUCCGAAUACGCAAUUUUUAUACGAACGUCGUCUUUUCACACGAGUGUUUAAGUAACGCCAUUUCAUUCUGCGGACUUUGGCUGCAAAAAAAAAAAGGGGGGGCUCCCGCUUUCCUUUGAAUUAUGAUGAAAGAAAAUGGGAAUUCUUUUUGUUUUAAAGAUGGAAAUUGGAGAUCGCAAACAUUUUCUCUAGUGUGAAAUGAAAAAAAACUUUGGUUCGGGAAGCUCGGGUAGUCAUUACGCGUAAUAUCAAGUGACGACGACUUUUCUAAGAAAUUUAAGCUAGAUUCAUUUUACGACAUAAAACCUUGUAGGGAUGGGUGUGUUUCUUUUAGGUCAGCCUAGCGCAAUCUAUUCCUCUUUUUUUCCAUACCAGGUCAUAAGACUUGUGGGAAGGGCUGUUUUUUUUGUCAAGUUCAACAGCCGUUACAGCAAUAAUGGCAAUAGAGGAGGGAGAAAAACUCGGCGUUCUACAUGUUUCUAGACAACUCCCUUGGCUAAUUUUCUUACAGUACGUUGUCGACAAGUUUACUUUAAAUUUUGUUUUAUUUUGGCUUUACAAGUUCGCGUGUGGUCGUUGCUCUCUAUUUGGGGAAUAGUCACUGUCUGACGGAUUACUUGCAGUCGUGGCUUUUUUUUUUUCUUUUCACGGAAAACCAAUAAAGGCUCAAUGACCGCAAACUAUGCAGGAUUGCACGACUUCAUUAUUCAAAUUGUUCCGGUAUGCUAGUUAUGUGACAUCGUGUUUAAAAAAUGAAGUAAACAAAAUUACCUUUUCGUGAAUAGUUGCAUUGUGAAGUUCGUCCAGGGUCGGUCUAUGCCCGGCUUGAAUUGAAAGGAUAUUGCGGUAGUUGUCGAGCCGAGGCAACGCUUCACGGGUCAGUUGGUAGCGCAAGCUCUUGGUAGCGGCGUUUGUCCGUUGACCACUUUCGUUCAUCGUCAUGUAAGUACCUUCCGACAAAAGAGCGGUCGGAGAGGACGCCCGUUCCCCGUCAUUAGAAGCGGCCGAACCAGGACGUUCGCCCAUUUCAAUCGCCUCCGAGCUAUUGCCCUUCUGUAAAUAAUCGUUCAACCAGACCACACACGCAUUAGAUUCUACUUCAAUAUUUCAUGAUAAAAAGAGAACGUAUACGUAUGAAAGAAAAAACAAAAAAUGGUGGUUAGCAUAGGUGUUGCGUACUUCCGUUUCGUCGCCAUCUUCUUCGGAAUUUCCGCCUCCUGAGUCGACUCGGUUCACUUUGAAACGGUUGCGUUUGGAUAAUGCGUCAGUCAUGAUCUAAGAACCUGAAUAUACAUACAAGCAAACAACAACAAAAUAUACACAAUUCGAUAAUCAAUAUUUGCUGUAGGUACUAUCCCCGUGGAGACAGCGUGCACUUUCAUUUAACAUUUUACGAUGCAAUUUAUAGUUGCAAUGGAAUCGACAGAAAUGUCGAAUGAUAUUGCUCGUAUCAUCACAAAAUGAUAAAGAGUCAUGGCAAAGAGAACAAAUAUCCAACUUCAUUUAAAUUUUAAGAAUAAAAGACAAAAUGUCUGUUGUCUUUGUAAAAAGAGAAGAAUGACUGGCAAAGUUUGAACAACGCUCGAUCACCUCAAUCGCUUAAACUGAAUCAACACUGUUAAAUGCAACUGCUGCUUUCACUUUCAUAGUAAUUCAAAUUAAUCCUAGACAACUAAUCGCCGUAAAAUAUCUAAUGUUUCUGAAUAAUUGUUAUUUGAAAUUUACCAGCAGGGAUGGCAGAAAUCGAUUAGUUGAAAGUGUUUCAACAGAAGUACGAGAAAGACACGUGGGGCACUUGAAGGUAACGGCACAGCUACAAAUGGUGAGACCGGUAGCCGGUUAACGAAGAGGAACAGACACAAGCAUGCAGACCGACCGGCAGGCGAAGACUACAGACUGACGAAGCUCAAAGUGACAGAGCAUUGGCUGUUUAUAAAGCGAAAGGCCCCUCCAGCUCCAGCACUCUCUCACACUCGACGGAAACACCAGAUAGGAUGGUGCCAGCCCCCUCUUGCUUCUUUCCAAAAAGAUCCGGGGGCUUCUAUUUAGCCACCCUUUUGUGUAUCCAAAAAGAGGAGAGUAGGUCUCAGUUUUUUUUUUUUUUUUUGCUUUGUAAAGAAGUGAGGUGGUCGUGGGGUGGCUAAAUUCCUUUUUUUUUUGUGCUGGAGGCUGUCGAAUUUUUUAACAUAAAAACCAUUCUGAAAACAAGUAAACAACAGGCCAAUUUAAGCUAUGCUGCGAUGAAGAAAGCCACUGCCAAUCAUCUUGUCGAGAGAAUGAAAACGUUUGAUGUGCAACAAGAACAACUCGGGACAAUAAGCAGGCAUCAAUAAAAACGAGGAAAAGUCAAAACUGUGCUAAGCAAAAAUUAAAAUCUAAAUUCAUUCGACCUCUUUUAAUCCUGUUCAAAUAUGGAUGAAUCAUCCCUAUCUUGGCUGUCACAUUUCAGAAAGUUGGCGUUUCAUCACGGCAUAAGGAGCAGUAGGUACAUCUUUUUAUCCCGUGGGAUAGGCAAGAACGUGGUGCAAAUGUUUUCCUUCUCAUGUAGAGACUCCACGUUUGAAACUCGACUGUCUAUAAUUAGAAUUUCAUUUGAAAAAAACAAAAAAACUAUACUUUCCUAGACAUUAUAGAAUCAGACAUCUUUCAAAGCAGCCGCCCGGAAAACCUGAGAGUCACCUAGCGAACCAUUCUUGUACUUCAUUGACAAUAAACAAAAGAAAAGCGCCUAUUCUUAGUAGUAUGACAGAUCACGAAAUCAACCAUCUUAUGGAAUCGAAAACCAUCUAGAUGUUUCUUUUUUAGACUCCAUUGUUUAACGUGUUUCCCAGUGUAUUUUCCAGUCCAAGGUUACAUCGAACCCAGGGACGCAGAUCCCUUUAGUUGAUUGAUGAGAUUAACAGUUUUCCAUGGUACGUAUCCAACGAGUAGUAUAACGAAACAAGUUACAGUGCACGUUUCACACGCGAUCAAUUAUUGUUUCCGUAUCUUUCUCAUCAAUGGAAGUUAUACGGAAUACGUUUCCAAAAGGAAAGUGCGGGCGGUUUAUGUAUUUGUUUGGUUACCAUGGCUACUCUAUUUUGGUUUAGGAAAGACGAGAAUAGCACGUUUACCCUUUGCAUGUUCGUCGCCAUCAAUGAUGUCACCAGUCAAGUAUUGGGUGGGGGGAUACCUUCUCUAAUUUCGGCCUUAUGAUCGAGUUGUCACGUCAUGUGAUGAUUAUGCUUCAUCGUUGAAAGAUAUCGUUUUAUAUGGCGGCUCAUAAUUGAACGAAAAAUCGUAAAAUUUGCGGGAAAAAAAUUAUUUCUAAAUGUAAUGGGUGUAGUAAAUGUAGCGUGUUUAUUGACCAUUGAGACCCGGGAAUGAAUUAGAAUGUUUCAAACCCUAACGCUUGUUCGUAUCCUAAUAACCUUUUCGAGGUUGAAGGAACUGUUUUAUGAUAGCAUUCAAAGUGCAUGCUGUCCCGUUACCUUUAAUCUUCUUUUCCUAGUGCUUUACUUAAUUCUGUGGUCUAAUCGAGAAAGCAAUCGUCUGCCUCAUAAAAUGGAACCCAACAAUUUGUAUUUAGUUUUAAAACGUCAGGCAUUUUAAAUUGCUAAGCAAUCAGACACAUUCGUUAAUAUGUUUGGCUUACUCCAUGUACGGUGAAGAAGACUCUUUAUCCCCACAUUGGAACGCUGGUAAGUGGUAAAGAAUCUGACGGGUAAUCGGUAGUUUGAAAACAUUUCGAAUGCAUAUUGGGGUUCAUCUUGCGUACGUCGUACCUAGACGAAACUCACUCGCAAAAAUCAACAUUGGAAAUAGAACCAGGUAAUAAAAUGGAUGAAAUAUAGGUAGCCGCAAUUACUUAAUAGUCAUGAUGAUGGGCAGAUAGUUCCAAACUCUAAUUAAGUUUCGUUCAUUGUCUGACCUGCGUCCUGCUUACAUUUAUACUAAUCGAAACAGAAGUUUAAAGAAGGAGCGGUUAGAAAGCAUCUUACCUGAUGAAUUCUUAGAAGUCUUAUGUAGGACUAAUUGAACGAAAUAUGCAGAUGUGAAGAACUGAAUUUUUCCACGAAAAGGAACCCCUGUUUUUUUCCUGGCUGUGUAAUUUCAACUGUGGUUUUCCUGCACGUGACGUUGAUCAAUUGUGGUAGGCAGCUGAAACCAUACACUUUAAUAAUUAACUUGCGUAAACGUAUUUGCUGAUCAUGUAUUUGUUUCACCCGGGUAAGCACUACCGCACAUUUUUCGUCGACCUAUGGCUAUGGGUUGUCAUUUCAUUGGAAAAACCCCACCCCAGAAGCUUUAAUUGGUUGGUUAAAUGCAAACGUCGGUUACGACACGACAUACGCGACUCUCAGCACGACACAGAAAUGCAUGUUUUGUAAAUCAGUCAAACAGUCACCUUCACGACGUCAUGCACGUCACAUGUUUUUCCGAAAAUCACCACUAGACAUGAGUAGUGACCUUAAGCUAUCGGAAGUUUUAUUUCAAUCGAACUGCCAACGCCAUCUAAAGAAGGGAUACGUAGCUAAAGGUAAGGAAGAAAAGGUUUUGAAAGAGAAAAAAGCCUCUGAACGUAGCGAUUCGCUCGAUCGUGGGUGCAUAAGCCAGCCAGAGAGCUAUAGAAAACUGAAAAUUAAUUUGUGUGCUAGGCAUUGCUGUUGGCAGAAUUCAUUAGAGUUAUUGUACGUGAAUCAAUUACAAAACGAAAAGAGUGACAAACAUCAUACGUUCUGUUGUAAAACGUACGUGUUAAAGAUUGGGAAUCGACUUCAGGAAGGUUGCUGAUUGCAAGUGUUAUCGUUUCGAGAAUGAUUUUUGAAAACUUUUUUGAAGAAUUUCUAGUUAGGAAUUCUGUCUAGAUCACAACCGACGUAACUAUUACGAUUUUUCCUCUAAUUCUCGAUAGGGAUUCAAUCGGUAAAGCCGUCGGAAACCAAAGACUUUGCGAGUUAGGGAGUAGAAAUCAAUGGAAGCUCGAUUGUAAAUUUAUUCGCCAUCUAGCAGCCACGAUCUAAACCUUUAGGAAAACGCAUCUACUCGAGGACUUCAAUUACUUUCGGCGAAAAAAAAAAAAUAAUAAAUAAAUGGCCCUCCCCGAGGUAUUAAAAAUUUUGGGGUUCUGUCGAAUAAAUAUUUUCGAAAUGAACAUUUCGAAUAAAAGUCUAGAAUCAACGGAUUUUUUAUUCGUUUCUUAAUCGUCAAAUAAAUUGGUCUGUUCUAUUCAUUAUUCUUGUCUUUUUAGACCUUUAAUUUUAUUCUUAUUCAAGAAUAAAUUUUCGAAUAAAUUUUGAUUAAAAAAUUCAAAUAAAUCAUUAUUUUUGUCUUUUUCUAAAUUAAUUAAUUAAUUCAAUUUAGUUCUUUUUUUUUCAGUUGGGAAAUUUUUUAUUCGAAAUUUAUUCUUUAUCCGUUAUUGAUUCGAAAAUCACGAAUCGAAGGCUUUUUUAUUCGUGAUUCUUGAUUCUUAUUUGUUUGGGUUUAGAUUUUAUUCGCAAACGAAAUGCAAUUUUUCGUUAUUCGACAGUAGCCUACACUGGUCAUUUGGCGUUCCGUAAAGCCUCGCUUACACUAGAGGGUUUUUUAAGCUUUUAAGCUUUUAGUUUUAAGAAGUUAAGGUAUUAUUAUAAGAUAUUUUCUAUGUAAUGCUAUUUAUUAUAAGGUAUUAUUUACGUAUAUUAUAUUAUUAAAAGAUUAAGGAACUAAAAGCUUAAGAAAAACCUCUAGUGUAAGCGAGGCUUAAGAAAUUAAAGUUACUAUCGAGUAUCGAAUUCAAAUUUUCCUCUGAAAUUUUUUAUCAUUUUUAUCUUUUCCAAUAGACAAGCAGACAAAUUAGUGACAGUAGAUUUAUCGAAGGUUUCGAGACGUGUUAAGCGGGGAGCCAAUAAAUGUUCAGUGCGUUCCUUAAAAAACCCUUUUGGUUGCUCGUUAGUGUUAGUACAGAAGUACACUGAGAUUUGCAAUUUGCAAUUUUCGUACCAACAUGAUGGACACUCUUUUUCACGAAACACACGAUUGUUUGAAGGUUGAUUUUACUAGACGUCAUUUGAAUGUUCUUAUCCGCAGCCCUACAGUGUGUAAAAAUAGACAGUGGGAAAAAUCUGCUCAUCAUGCUGAUUGGCACAAUGCUGGCUUCAUGACUACACAGUGUUAAAAGACUCUUCCCUUAAGUAAAUUUGCAGCUGUGGACUUUCUUUAGAUGACUCUUGUAUCAUAAAUAUUUUCCUGCUUCUUGGAACGUGGAACAUAGGAUGUCUUGAUGCCAACCAAGUGUCAUUAAGAGUGUAAAAAGAUGUUUCAGGUUUUUGAAAAAUCAGUGAUAAUGUUUAAAAAAUUACUUUUUUAGUAUUCUUAAAUCAUGCUUAAAUUAGCAGAAAAAACCUAAAGCUGGAGGAUGAUACAUUUGUUUCUUGUUACUAGUUUUGUAAACAAAGGCUAAAUUGGUAAAAUGAAACAACACAUGACCUAUGGCUUUAGAUCUAUUGUUUUCACAAAUGGAAAUUGAUUCCAAAUCUUUAUCUACCCGGUCAGACACCCACCCAAAAACCAUGGGGUGAUAGAUGAUAUAAAAAAUGUAUUAAUUCAAAAAUUUAUAUUUUAAGUUAUUGUUUGCAGAGUCAGGGAAAAAAUGUGUGGAAUCUGAAAUUCUAGCCCUCAAAACCCCAGCUGCCAUUCUGCUUCAACAAGGCUAUAAAGCAAUUAUUAUUUAAAGUGGUAGAGACUGUCAGCAAAAACAAAGCACAGACAUUUUUGUAGUUGGCUUUUCUGCUUAAUGUUAUUGUUAAACUUAACUUUUGGAAACAUAGAAGUGUAAUCAAAUGUUCAGGAUCAAAUUGAUGAAAUGGUUGAGCCAAAAAUGAACUUUAUAUUACUUUUGAACAGAUCUUAACUCAGUGUACGCGGCUGAUGCCCCACUAAACGUCACAUCAAUCUUUACCUGCGGUCUUCCAGUGUUGGUAAUUUGUUAUGGCAUGCAAUUAUUCAACAAGGAGUUAGGUGGAACGGAGGAGUGUAAAGAUGUUUGCGAAGAUGGGCAAUUCGAUAUCCAAGUACAAACGGAGUGCCCAUUGUUUAAAGGCUUAGAGACCCGGCAAAUGGUAUUGCUGACCAAUGUUGACAGCUUUGACAAGGUUGCAGAAGGAUUAUCUUGCGUCUCAAAAUCUUCGCGUCAUUAUUUCCGCCAUUGCUGAUACUGAACACCAUCUUGACGGAGUCCAUCAGUUCCCUCCUGAAGUUGAUUUGACUAAAAAUGGUAUGUUGGUUUCCUUUCCAUUGAUUGCAAACAUUGAUCUUAGCAGUAUAUCGAUUACGUCCGGCGUACGGUCGGAUGUAAUAAGAUCGUGCUCAUGCUGGUAAUCGCGUAGUCGAUUCCUUCGUUUGUGCUGCCCAUCUCCAUAAAGCACUUCUACAGGGUGCGACGGGUGGCCUGCACUCGCGCUGUUCCAGGAAUUUCCAGGGUUUUGUAUGACCAGAUGGCGAAAUCACUCGUGACAACGGAGUGGGAAGGAUUUGAUUUACGAACGUUACUUAGGCAAAUCAUAUCCGCACUCUUUAUAAGACAGGACAAAGAUACGGAGUUGUAUCAUUGACCAGAUUUAGAUAGGAAAUAUUAUGAAUAUUGGAUUCAGUAAUAGAUUAUGAAAUUGAAAAAAUCGAUCAACUUUGCCGUCUCGUUAAAGAGUAGUUCACGUGAUGACUUAUUGACUAUUCCUUAAAUAUACAUGCACACUUGUUGGAAAUAAUGGUUUCAGUUGUUUUUCGUCGAACAAAUUAAACGUUGUUAAUGUGCAGCUAGUUGGGCUGUUGUUGCUCUCCCUUGUAAAUCUAACCUUUUUCGCCCAAUUGUUAAUCAAAUUUUUUUGGAACGUUGUGAUGUCACCCAAAAACAAGCGGAAGGCCAUUCGAGGCGUUAUGCCAUUAUCUGAAAUUGAACAUUCAGAAAAUGUGGUAAAUGUUUGCCAAUUGUUAAGAUUUAUUCAGAGUGGUACUAUAAAGUAUGACUGUAGGAAAGGGUACGUUAGGCUUCUAAAAGUGAAGAACAGUUCUGACAUCUUUGGUAAGCGGAAAAGGUACUGCAAAUGGAAGCGUCACAUGACGAUUUUAAGGAUGGACCCUUUCGUUUGCAUUGCCCAAUGAAUCUGUGCUUGGAACUGGCAGCUGGCGUUUAACAGCUUGGCACCUAAUCUUUGUUCUUAAAAGCCAGAGGUGUUCUUCACGUUUCAGGAGGAUACUUAUUGAUGAUUUUUUUAGAUUGAUGAUACUUAUUGGUUAAACCAUGAAGAAUACCAAUAGAUGGAUAAAAUGAGGGUUAUAAUAUAAAACAAAUUGCUCAUGGCAUUUUCAUUCACGCAUGCGCGACAAUUUGUGAGCAGACGAACUAUUGAAAGAGACUUGCGCAGUCUAACUGCAUCCAGCCAGAUACUAGUAAAACCCGAAACAUUGUUUUGACAAGUUCUGACAUAUUGUGGUUGCAGGUUUUCACUAAAUAACAAGCGGAAAAACUAGAUGGCAUUGAGCGUCAAUGAUAAAUAUUACGAUUGACAAGUUAAAGGGUCUACUCUGUUUAGUGUUUUAAACGAUUUUUCGUCAAAAAUUAAGUGGGUUUCACCUUGUCAGCUGGACUGUCAGCUGAACCAGUAGCCUGCAUUCCUGCUAUCAAUGUACCACAAGGGAUGCUGACACUUUAAGAAGACAAACAGUAACCACUAUGCCCGAGACAUGAACAUCGCCAUUCUAUUCAGAGUCUUCAUCUACUAUGUGUUGCAAACUAUCAGCCCUUAGCAUCCCAUGUUUCCAGAUUUUAAAGCUUCUCUGCUUAGCCAACCAUCCUCCAUACUGAAGUGUAUGGAGCUCUUCAUUGUGGCUCCUCUUCCUCUCUUCUUAGCGUGAUGAAUGCCAACAGGCAUAAUGGUUCAUCUCCGUUGCCUUACCAUAAAAUGGAAAAUAUCAUUGUUACUCCUGCUGCCAAAUCGUCUUCCCGUACGAGUCAUGCAGUUUUAGAUUCCUCAUGGAAUUUCCUUGCUGAAAAGGGCAUCCUACCAGUUGUGUGGACCAAACCUGCCUCGCCGUCUUCGCCUCGCCGUCUUCGCCUCGCCAUCCUCGCCUCGCCAUCCUCGCCUCGCCGUCUUCGCCUCGCCAUCCUCGCCUCGCCGUCUUCGCCACGCCAUCCUCGCCACGCCAUCCUCGCCCCGCCAUCCUCGCCACGCCAUCCUCGCCACGCCAUCCUCGCCACGCCAUCCUCGCCACGCCAUCCUCGACACGCCAUCCUCGCCUUACCGUCUUUGCUCGCGCCCGGCUUCUCCUCAUCGCCGUCAUCGUGGAACGUCGCGUUUUUGGUAUUUUGUUUUGUUGGUAUUUUGUUUUGUUUUGUAUUGUUGUAUUUUUUGUUUAAAGUUAACCCGUUGGCUGCCACCCAUUUUGCUCCCCUUUUUUUUUUAGUUGUAGGGACCGGCGGCGCUGUUCUGCCCCAUGGUUGAUCACCCAUGGGGUGGGGCAGUCGCCUUGCGCCUUAGGGCGCCGUAGGCAAUGCACCAGUAGGGACUUCCCCUUGUCGAUGCGAUGGUGGAGUACCUGGGGUGUGCAUUCCCGUAAAGGUCUCCAUCGUCAAGUCAGCCCGGACUUGUCUUUGGACAAGUCCCCCUUUCAUCGGAUCCCUCUGAAACGAUGCGUAGCAACUGUAGAACAACCUAUGGGUUGUAAUGGCUUGGCAGCCAACGGGUUAACUUAAGCGUUUGUUUUUGUAUGCAUGUAUGUACUGUAUUUAUUGUAUAACAUGUGAUGUAUGUAUUGAAUAACAUGUGAUGUAAAACUGUGGUGGAAUUGUGGGUGGAGGUGGGAUAAUACAAAACCAAUUCCAUUUA
Molecule: RNA transcript, 12514 nt
Organism: Daphnia magna
Lineage: Eukaryota; Metazoa; Arthropoda; Branchiopoda; Diplostraca; Daphniidae
Exons: 14
Source: RefSeq, a predicted model, not a curated record